GUUUGAUCCUGGCUCAGGACGAACGCUGGCGGCAGGCUUAACACAUGCAAGUCGAGCGAAGACUUCGGUCUUAGCGGCAGACGGGUGAGUAACGCGUGGGAAUCUACCCAUCCUACGGAAUAGCUCCGGGAAACUGGAAUUAAUACCGUAUACGCCUUCGGGGGAAAGAUUUAUCGGGGAUGGAUGAGCCCGCGUUGGAUUAGCUAGUUGGUGGGGUAAAAGCCUACCAAGGCGACGAUCCAUAGCUGGUCUGAGAGGAUGAUCAGCCACAUUGGGACUGAGACACGGCCCAAACUCCUACGGGAGGCAGCAGUGGGGAAUAUUGGACAAUGGGCGCAAGCCUGAUCCAGCCAUGCCGCGUGAGUGAUGAAGGCCCUAGGGUUGUAAAGCUCUUUCAACGGUGAAGAUAAUGACGGUAACCGUAGAAGAAGCCCCGGCUAACUUCGUGCCAGCAGCCGCGGUAAUACGAAGGGGGCUAGCGUUGUUCGGAAUUACUGGGCGUAAAGCGCGCGUAGGCGGAUCGGUUAGUUGGGGGUGAAAUCCCAGGGCUCAACCCUGGAACUGCCUCCAAUACUGCCGGUCUAGAGUUCGAGAGAGGUGAGUGGAAUUGCGAGUGUAGAGGUGAAAUUCGUAGAUAUUCGCAGGAACACCAGUGGCGAAGGCGGCUCACUGGCUCGAUACUGACGCUGAGGUGCGAAA
RNAcentral lists this ribosomal RNA (699 nucleotides) under alpha proteobacterium GWS-SE-H176. RNAcentral describes it as "bacterial SSU rRNA". It matches the Rfam family "Bacterial small subunit ribosomal RNA", at positions 11 to 758 of the family's 1533-position model. Lineage: Bacteria; Pseudomonadati; Pseudomonadota; Alphaproteobacteria. The record is from RNAcentral.